This 501-nucleotide ribosomal RNA is filed under the name uncultured bacterium. RNAcentral's name for it is "partial 16S ribosomal RNA". It matches the Rfam family "Bacterial small subunit ribosomal RNA", at positions 29 to 523 of the family's 1533-position model. The record is from RNAcentral.
AUUGAACGCUGGCGGCAUACCUUACACAUGCAAGUCGAACGGCAGCACGGGUGCUUGCACCUGGUGGCGAGUGGCGAACGGGUGAGUAAUACAUCGGAACGUACCUUAUCGUGGGGGAUAACGCAGCGAAAGCUGUGCUAAUACCGCAUACGCCCUGAGGGGGAAAGCGGGGGAUCGCAAGACCUCGCGCGAUUAGAGCGGCCGAUGCCUGAUUAGCUAGUUGGUGGGGUAAAAGCCCACCAAGGCGACGAUCAGUAGCUGGUCUGAGAGGACGAUCAGCCACACUGGGACUGAGACACGGCCCAGACUCCUACGGGAGGCAGCAGAGGGGAAUUUUGGACAAUGGGGGCAACCCUGAUCCAGCAAUGCCGCGUGAGUGAAGAAGGCCUUCGGGUUGUAAAGCUCUUUUGUCAGGGAAGAAACACCGGCUCUAACACAGUCCGGGAAUGACGGUACCUGAAGAAUAAGCACCGGCUAACUACGUGCCAGCCGCCGCAGUAA